RNAcentral lists this RNase P RNA (428 nucleotides) under Haloarcula salina. RNAcentral describes it as "RNase P RNA component". It matches the Rfam family "Archaeal RNase P". Rfam says of the family: Ribonuclease P (RNase P) is a ubiquitous endoribonuclease, found in archaea, bacteria and eukarya as well as chloroplasts and mitochondria. Its best characterised activity is the generation of mature 5'-ends of tRNAs by cleaving the 5'-leader elements of precursor-tRNAs. Cellular RNase Ps are ribonucleoproteins. Lineage: Archaea; Methanobacteriati; Methanobacteriota; Halobacteria; Halobacteriales; Haloarculaceae. The record is from RNAcentral.
GGCAGAGGGAGGCCGGCUCCCGUGCCGCGAGGCAUGAGGAAAGUCCCCCCACCCGUCGGACGGGUGACCGGGCGCAAGUCCGGGGCGGGAGACCGUCGGCUCUGGAACAGAAACGACACGUCGUCGCCGGACCGAUGAGGUGCGCGAAUCCCGAGCGAGGCCGCCCGAUCGCGGCCGAAGCGAGGGAGAGCUAACCCACCGAGGGCAGUCGCGGAUCGUGACUCGAUCCGCGCGACUGCGGGCGUCUUGCCCGCGGUCGACGUGGAGCGCAAUCGUGCUCCACGCUCCCGGCGACGGACCGAUGGAACGGCGAAACCUCACCGGUGCAAGGCCGCGUCGACAGGUAGUCCGACGCCGCGCGCGAGCGCUGGACGCGGCCGCUGAGCCGAAUGCCGGCCCGAACAGAAGGGGGCUUACUCCCCUCAGCC